This 458-nucleotide ribosomal RNA is filed under the name uncultured bacterium. RNAcentral's name for it is "partial 16S ribosomal RNA". It matches the Rfam family "Bacterial small subunit ribosomal RNA", at positions 29 to 507 of the family's 1533-position model. The record is from RNAcentral.
AACGAACGCUGGCGGCAUGCCUAACACAUGCAAGUCGAACGAGACCUUCGGGUCUUGUGGCGCACGGGUGCGUAACGCGUGGGAACCUGCCCUUAGGUUCGGAAUAACUCCCCGAAAGGGGUGCUAAUACCGGAUAAUGUCUUCGGCCCAAAGAUUUAUCGCCCUGGGUUGUGCCCGCGUUGGAUUAGCUAGUUGGUAGGGUAAAAGCUUACCAAGGCUGCUAUCCAUAGCUGGUCAGAGAGGCUGAUUAGCCACACUGGGACUGAGACACGGCCCCGACGCCGACGGGAGGCAGCAGCCGGGAAUCUUCCGCAAGGGGCGAGAGGGUGAUGGAGCAACGCCGCGUGAGUGAUGAAGGUCCUCGGAUCGUAAAACUCUGUUAUUAGGGGAGUACAAAUGUGUUUUUACCUAUGCACGUCUUGACGGUACCGAAUCAGAAAGCCCCGGCUAACUACGUG